GAUGAACGCUGGCGGCGUGCCUAAUACAUGCAAGUCGAGCGAACGGACGCGAAGCUUGCUGGUCUGACGUUAGCGGCGGACGGGUGAGUAACACGUGGAUAACCUACCUAUAAGACUGGGAUAACUUCGGGAAACCGGAUCUAAUACCGGAUAAGAUCUUGAACCGCAUGGUUCAAAAGUGAAAGACGGUCUUGCUGUCACUUAUAGCUGGAUCCGCGCUGCAUUAGCUAGUUGGUAAGGUAACGGCUUACCAAGGCAACGAUGCGUAGCCGACCUGAGAGGGGGAUAGGCCACACUGGAACUGAGCCACGGACCAGACUCCUACGGGAGGCAGCAGUAGGGAAUCUUACGCAAUGGGCGAAAGCCUGACGGAGCAACGCCGCGUGAGUGAUGAAGGUCUUCGGAUCGUAAAACUCUGUUAUUAGGGAAGAACAGAUGUGGAAGUAAAUGUGCACAGCUUGACGGUACCGAAUCAGAAAGCCACGGCUAACUACGUG
Molecule: ribosomal RNA, 497 nt
Filed under: uncultured bacterium
Lineage: Bacteria
Description: partial 16S ribosomal RNA
Rfam family: Bacterial small subunit ribosomal RNA
Source: RNAcentral